GCAUCGAUGAAGAACGCAGCGAAAUGCGAUAAGUAAUGUGAAUUGCAGAAUUCAGUGAAUCAUCGAAUUUUUGAACGCACCUUGCGCUCCUUGGUAUUCCGAGGAGCAUGCCUGUUUGAGUGUCAUGUUAAUUCUCAAACCUUUGUGUUUGGUUUUGGAGGCUCUGCUUGUCUCAAAGCUCCUCUCAAAUGCAUUGGCUAACUUGGGCUGGAUUUAUCUCAGUGUUGUAAUCUACUGCGCUGAAAAACUAGCUUUGAGUUGGCUGACUUAACAUUUCUUGUACUCUGACCUCAGAUCAGGUAGGACUACCCGCUGAACUUAAGCAUAUCAAUAAGCGGAGGA
Molecule: ribosomal RNA, 342 nt
Filed under: uncultured fungus
Lineage: Eukaryota; Fungi
Description: eukaryotic LSU rRNA
Rfam family: 5.8S ribosomal RNA (bases 1-125)
Source: RNAcentral